This 805-nucleotide long non-coding RNA is filed under the name Marmota monax (woodchuck). Lineage: Eukaryota; Metazoa; Chordata; Mammalia; Rodentia; Sciuridae. The record is from RNAcentral.
AGAGGUGGCAGACCAGGAAGAAACAGAGAUGGGAGGGGAGAGGAGGAGAGCCCCAGCCAGACAGAAGAGGUGGGGCUGGGAAAACAUGGGGACAAGACCCUUCUCCAAGACCCCUGAGCUCACUGUGCCCAGUGCUGAGCAAGGCAGAGGACGGGACCCCAGACAAGGACUGUCACAGGCACUGAGAGGCGGAGAGGUGGAGGGCUCCGGUCCCACCUAUCCAGUCCUCUUUUCGGGCUCUGGGUCAACACUCUCAGAACACACACCUGUGUCCCACUACCCAGGCAUCAUCCACAGCUACCGGGGACACUGCUCCUGACACUCCAGGGCGCCUUCACCCAGGGACUCACAGCCUCAUGGGAAACACAGUGGUGCUUCAUAUGUGUGGUCACAGUCACAAUAUGGAUCCAUUCAGAUGACGCAUAACACAGUCAAGGACACAAACACAUUCAUAUGACAAAGACAUAGGCUCCCCACACCAGAGUGACACCUCACUGUGGCUCUGUCACAUGAGGACUUUGUCACACAUGUGGUCUCUGUCAGACAUGGCCAUACACCAUUACACAGGCUCUCUGCCCUGGACCAUUGGGCACCCAGACAUACACUCCACCCUGACCUCAACCUGGACACUCACUGACACUCAUGCAUGCACCUUCCACUGCACACCUGACCCACUACUUGGGUGGGUGACCUAUCCUGGGGACAAUUUGGGGGAACUUUGUAAAUGCUGAGUUCAGUUCUCCACAUUUGAGCCAGGGAGAGCUGACAGAGGCCAGUCCCCAGUGGAGACUAGGAAGGCUGAAGC